UAGUGGCUGACGUAUAUAAUCUUCUACCUGAUAAAAAAUAUAAAAUAUAUAAAUAAAUUUAUUUUAGAACAAGUGAUCAUUUUAACAUGGUAUCAAAGCAGCACAUUUGACAAGCACACAAUUUUUAUAGGAACUACGAAGAAAAUCCAACAGGCGCGCAUAAAAUCUUUUACCAUCACCGAUUAGUUGGCAGGAAAUUCAGUUAUUAUCCGUAGACCGUAGUAGCUCCACUUUGGCUGCAACACUAGCAAGUUCGAGAAGGUAGAAGUACAUACAGAGCACACUAAAUAUUAGAACAGAACUAAAUUAGAGCUCCAGAAGAUACGCAAGACGUAGCCUAAGCACACGAGAGAGAACCCCAGUUUGGCUGCAACACUAGCAGGUUCUAGAGGGUGGGAGCUCGUACAGAGCACACUAAAUAUUAGAACAGAGCUAACUUAGAGCUCCAUGACUUCAUGACCGUCACGAAUCAGAUAGAGACGCAAGACGUAGCCUAAGCACACGAACACAACCUAAAACAGUUCAUAGCUUCCUCGUGUAGCCAUUUGAUCAUGGUACACCCGCGUUGCCCCCUGCAAGCCCACCUUGGGGAAGCCCUGGCACAUCACCGAAGCCCGGGAAGGCACCGCCGUAGUCUGGUUGUCCGAGCCCAAACCCAGGUUCGAGGCCUGAGCCUCCACCAAAGCUGGGGUUGCCAAAGAAGCCUCCAUAGGCUCCAGGGAUGGGCUGAGGCUGAGCUGGUCUGGGCUCGCUCUUGAUAUUUCUUCCUUCAAGAACCCCAACCGAGGUGGCAAGAAGGAUCAGCACCAUUGUCUUGGUCUACUUCUCCAUGUUCGCUUCUCUAACUCGAUGUUGC
This 856-nucleotide long non-coding RNA is filed under the name Phoenix dactylifera (date palm). RNAcentral's name for it is "long non-coding RNA (PDAC_LNC000583)". Lineage: Eukaryota; Viridiplantae; Streptophyta; Magnoliopsida; Arecales; Arecaceae. The record is from RNAcentral.